RNAcentral lists this ribosomal RNA (468 nucleotides) under uncultured bacterium. RNAcentral describes it as "partial 16S ribosomal RNA". It matches the Rfam family "Bacterial small subunit ribosomal RNA", at positions 28 to 507 of the family's 1533-position model. The record is from RNAcentral.
GACGAACGCUGGCGGCGUGCUUAACACAUGCAAGUCGAACGGAAAGGCCCUGCUUUUGUGGGGUGCUCGAGUGGCGAACGGGUGAGUAACACGUGAGUAACCUGCCCUUGACUUUGGGAUAACUUCAGGAAACUGGGGCUAAUACCGGAUAGGAGCUCCUGCUGCAUGGUGGGGGUUGGAAAGUUUCGGCGGUUGGGGAUGGACUCGCGGCUUAUCAGCUUGUUGGUGGGGUAGUGGCUUAACAAGGCUUUGACGGGUAGCCGGCCUGAGAGGGUGAACGGCCACAUGAGGACUGAGAUACGGCCCAGAAUCCUACGGGAGGCAGCAGUUGGGAAUAUUGCACAAUGGGCGGAAGCCUGAUGCAGCAACGCCGCGUGCGGGAUGACGGCCUUCGGGUUAUAAACCGCUUUCGCCUGUGACGAAGCGUGAGUGACGGUAAUGGGUAAAGAAGCACCGGCUAACUACGUG